UGGCGGACGGGUGAGUAACGCGUGGGUAACCUGCCUUACACAGGGGGAUAACACCUGGAAACAGGUGCUAAUACCGCAUAAGCGCACAGGGCCGCAUGGCCCGGUGUGAAAAACUCCGGUGGUGUAAGAUGGAUCCGCGUCUGAUUAGCUUGUUGGCGGGGUAGAGGCCCACCAAGGCGACGAUCAGUAGCCGGCCUGAGAGGGUGGACGGCCACAUUGGGACUGAGACACGGCCCAAACUCCUACGGGAGGCAGCAG
RNAcentral lists this ribosomal RNA (258 nucleotides) under uncultured bacterium. RNAcentral describes it as "partial 16S ribosomal RNA". It matches the Rfam family "Bacterial small subunit ribosomal RNA", at positions 96 to 354 of the family's 1533-position model. The record is from RNAcentral.